Molecule: ribosomal RNA, 518 nt
Filed under: uncultured bacterium
Lineage: Bacteria
Description: bacterial SSU rRNA
Rfam family: Bacterial small subunit ribosomal RNA
Source: RNAcentral
UGGCGGACGGGUGAGUAACACGUGAGGAACCUACCCUCAAGUGGGGAAUAACUGCCAGAAAUGGCAGCUAAUACCGCAUGUAUUUGGUUGCGGGCAUCCGUGACCGAACAAAGAUUUAUCGCUUGAGGACGGCCUCGCGGCCUAUUAGCUUGUUGGUGGGGUAAUGGCCUACCAAGGCUGUGAUGGGUAGCUGGUCUGAGAGGACGAUCAGCCACACUGGGACUGAGACACGGCCCAGACUCCUACGGGAGGCAGCAGUGAGGAAUUUUCCGCAAUGGGCGCAAGCCUGACGGAGCAACGCCGCGUGUGUGAUGAAGUCCUUCGGGAUGUAAAGCACUGUCGGAGGGGAUGAACAAAUGACAGUACCCUCCAAGAAAGCCCCGGCUAACUACGUGCCAGCAGCCGCGGUAAUACGUAGGGGGCAAGCGUUAUCCGGAUUUACUGGGCGUAAAGCGCGUGUAGGCGGUUGCGUAAGUUGGUUGUGAAAUCUCCCGGCUCAACCGGGAAACUGCGUCCAA